This is a long non-coding RNA of Maniola jurtina (meadow brown), 115 nucleotides long. RefSeq lists it as uncharacterized. NCBI's taxonomy places the organism in Eukaryota, Metazoa, Arthropoda, Insecta, Lepidoptera, Nymphalidae. The record is from RefSeq and is a predicted model, not a curated record. The transcript has 3 exons.
CAGAUACACACUAAAGUACACGGUAAAAUACACCUAAGUUCCAUUUCACUUCAAAACAUCUUUAUUUAUAGAAUUUUUUACACACUUUACUAUUACACAAACGUUAUUUUAUUUA